This 107-nucleotide ribosomal RNA is filed under the name Diaphorina citri (Asian citrus psyllid). Lineage: Eukaryota; Metazoa; Arthropoda; Insecta; Hemiptera; Psyllidae. The record is from RNAcentral.
GCCAGCGGCUAUAACACGUUGACUGCACAAGUGCCCAAUUGCUCGCAGAAGUUUAGUAACGUUGCGCGGGAUGGGAAAUCAUCUGGGGCAAUCACGUGCUGCUGUCU